GUAACCUCUUCCUUCCUUGUUGCUCGGUAACGGUCUAUGGUAUGGUCACACUGGAGUUUGUUCAGCUGUUAACAGACAUCAGGGUUGCUUCCAUUUUACCUUUACCCUCAUGAAUAAAGCUUAGAAGAUUUUCGUGCAGAAAUCAUCUGUGGGAGUCCAUUCUGAGUUGUCUUUACUCUCCUAUUGGCCUGUGUCCCCCAGUGUCACCACGUCUUGAUUACACUAGCUAUAAGAGCUUCCACCCAGCUGCCUUUUAAACAGUAAGGGGUAUGCCCACUGCUGCGACAGGAGACCUUGAGCUUUCCAUAGAAUCUUUGUA
Mus musculus (house mouse) is the source of this 319-nucleotide long non-coding RNA. RefSeq annotates it as predicted gene, 40110. Lineage: Eukaryota; Metazoa; Chordata; Mammalia; Rodentia; Muridae. The transcript has 3 exons. The record is from RefSeq and is a predicted model, not a curated record.